GGAUGAGUGGUCGAGUGGUUUAUGGCGUUAGUUUUGAAAACUAUUGUAUUUUUUGAAUACCGUGGGUUCAAAUCCCUCCUCUUCCU
Molecule: transfer RNA, 86 nt
Filed under: Coscinodiscus granii
Lineage: Eukaryota; Bacillariophyta; Coscinodiscophyceae; Coscinodiscales; Coscinodiscaceae
Description: tRNA-Ser
Rfam family: tRNA
About the family: Transfer RNA (tRNA) molecules are approximately 80 nucleotides in length.
Source: RNAcentral